UUUCAAUCAACACUUUCAUCUGCUAUUUAGUCAACUUCAUGGAGAUCUACUUUACAUACAAUAAACCACAUCCGUGUAAAGUACACAAGCGGUCGGAGGAUUUUCCACUGUGUUGGCCAAACGUCACCGCCUUUGCCCAUCACCUGCCAGUGGGUGCCUGGGCUGCUCCCAGUUCCUGGUGACUGGAUGGAGCUGCGGCCAAGGUCCUGGCACAUGUCAUCAUGUGGACAUCUGUCUUCAUUUCUCUUGGGAGCAGAGUGGCUGGCUCACAGGGAGGUGCACGUUUAACUUUCUAAGGAACUGCAGCCGUCUUCCACAGUGGCUGUGCUGUAUACCCUCCCACUGGCGAUGUGGGUGCACGCAGGGUGUCCGUGCAUGUGCAGGAGUAUCUCUGUGUCGUUACAAUCUGCAUUUCCCUGAAGACUAAUGAUGGCAUCUUUCCAUGUGUUUAUUAGCCACUUAUAUAUCUUCUUUCUGAAGUGCC
Molecule: long non-coding RNA, 484 nt
Filed under: Homo sapiens (human)
Lineage: Eukaryota; Metazoa; Chordata; Mammalia; Primates; Hominidae
Description: HSALNT0289695
Source: RNAcentral